Molecule: ribosomal RNA, 435 nt
Filed under: Dolichogenidea sp. Janzen51
Lineage: Eukaryota; Metazoa; Arthropoda; Insecta; Hymenoptera; Braconidae
Description: partial 28S ribosomal RNA
Source: RNAcentral
UGAGGAGAUUCAUCGUCAGCGUAUUCAGUAUUAAUGCAGGCUAUGAUGUGAURAUAGAAUCCUCGUGGUCACUAGAUUAUACUUGCUUGUAUUAUUUUUGCUGAGUAUGUCGGCGUGCACUUCUCCUCUAGUAGAACGUCGCAACCCGUUGGAUGUUYAUCUAUGGCCURAAUGGUAGCCUUUGAUAUUUUUUAUAGUCUGCUGUUAGCUGGUAAUGUCUUUAACUGGCUUAUUUACYGGUUAGCGAUGCUACUGCUUUGGGUACUUACAGGACCCGUCUUGAAACACGGACCAAGGAGUCUAACAUGUGCGCGAGUCAUUGGGAUAUAUUUAUAUAACUCAAACCUAAAGGCGUAAUGAAAGUAUAGAUUGUCUUAAGACAAUUGAGGGAAGAUGGGUUGCGUUACGAUGUAAUCCCGCAUUCCCGGGACGUUC